AUUCCAGCUCCAAGAGCAUAUAUUAAAGUUGUUGCAGUUAAAAAGCUCGUAGUUGGAUUUCUGGUAUAAUGCGCCUGGCCCGCGGCUUUUUAAGCCUGUGAGUGCCGGUUGUGCGUUUGCCAUCCUUCUAGAAAACGUUUCUACCCUUCACUGGGCCGGACUCGCGAUCUAGAUCUUUUACUUUGAAAAAUUAGAGUGUUUAAAGCAGGCUUUUGCUAUGAAUACAUUAGCAUGGAAUAAUAAUCUAGGACUUCGGUUCUAUUUUGUUGGUUUCUAGUACUGAGUAAUGAUUGAUAGGGAUAGUUGGGGUG
Molecule: ribosomal RNA, 311 nt
Filed under: uncultured marine eukaryote
Lineage: Eukaryota
Description: SSU rRNA
Rfam family: Eukaryotic small subunit ribosomal RNA
Source: RNAcentral